GUAGGUGGCGAACGUUGUCCGGAUUUACUGGGCGUAAAGCGCGCGCAGGCGGACUGGUCAGUCCAGGGUGAAAUCUCCCGGCUCAACUGGGAGGAGUCCCCGGAUACUGCCAGUCUUGAGGUGCCUAGAGGAGAGUGGAAUUCAGGGUGUAGUGGUGGAAUGCGUAGAUAUCCUGAGGAACACCAGUGGCGAAAGCGACUCUCUGGGGGCAACCUGACGCUGAGGCGCGAAAGCGUGGGGAGCGAACCGGGAUUAGAUACCCGGGUAGUCCACGCCGUAAACGAUGAGUACUAGCUGUAUGGGGGUAUCGACUCCCUGUGUAGCGAAGCUAACGCGAUAAGUACUCCGCCUGGGGACUACGGCCGCAAGGCUA
This 373-nucleotide ribosomal RNA is filed under the name uncultured organism. RNAcentral's name for it is "partial 16S ribosomal RNA". It matches the Rfam family "Bacterial small subunit ribosomal RNA", at positions 527 to 896 of the family's 1533-position model. The record is from RNAcentral.